AAUGAAGCAUCGGGAAGCCACUGGAGCUGCUGCUUUGGAACCCCUCCGAUCAGGGGAGGAGGAAAUCUGAAACAACUUUCCUGACUGCUUUAGGGAGAGAGGCAAGCAGCCAGCCACUGGGGCACUUGGCAAAGCAGAGAACAGCAGCCUGGAUUCACCUGACGCCUGGCGUGAGGAAAGAGCUGGCAGGCAUCCUGCCUCAGCCAUCUGUGCCUCCGCUCCUCACCAAAGUGGGAAAGCAUUUCAAAUAAACGAUUUUGAACGCACGUUCGAUCCAUUCAAGUUCUCAUGACCUCACAAGAGAAAGGCCUCCGGGACUCGCACUGUCGGCUGCCGGAGGGAGGGCUGAUGAACAAUAUUCUCUGAGCUUGUUCAGAAAGAAAGGGAAGAACCCGGGCAAAACACAAACAGCUCUACCGAGUUUCAGAGAGAUGGGAAUCACCUUGCAGGUGGUGGAACCACAUGGCUCGUUUAUGGUCUGAAUAAGCAUCCUCACUCAAGUUGGCACUUGAGCAUAGGACACCAACUGCCGCUGACCUGAUGUUUAAAUUGCAACAUCUUAUUUGUAAGCCAAGUUUUCAUUUAUUUUGCCUUUUUUUUUUCCCGUACCUUUGCCUUAAACAAGAUUGCUUUAGGGACCCAGGAGUAUUCCACA
RNAcentral lists this long non-coding RNA (655 nucleotides) under Mus pahari (shrew mouse). RNAcentral's name for it is "predicted gene 28139 (MGP_PahariEiJ_G0006436.1)". Lineage: Eukaryota; Metazoa; Chordata; Mammalia; Rodentia; Muridae. The record is from RNAcentral.